Gasterosteus aculeatus aculeatus (three-spined stickleback) is the source of this 5407-nucleotide long non-coding RNA. The record is from Ensembl. NCBI's taxonomy places the organism in Eukaryota, Metazoa, Chordata, Actinopteri, Perciformes, Gasterosteidae.
UCACAUUCUUGUGCCAGGUCCUCUUCCACAGCGUGUAGCAGCUUGGGGUUAGCUUCAUUAUCCUCAGCCUUCCUACCACGUUUGCUGAAACAGGUGUCCAUCUAGCUACAGUUGUGUAAGUAACGAAAACAGCACCAUGUCAUAGAAGCUAAGGUUAAGAUACAAUAGUCAAUCGUGACAUCUUAGUUGUUUAGAAAUAGCGACAAGAAAACUGGAGCAAAUACUACUAGCCUCUAUGCUACUAACGUUAUAGCCUGUUGGCUGCCUUGUAACGGAGACGUAAGGACUUUGUACUUAAAGGCUAACUAGUAUUAGUUAGUACUUAAUAAAACGGCAAAGACUGUAAACAAAAGACUAACGUCACAGUUAUAAUGUCCUCCUCAAAAAAAUGUUCUUUUAAAAUCCAAAUUACACACCGGUAUUUCGCGUUAGCUUACCUGAAGUAGGAAACUUCCAGACUGUUGAUCAGUGUGUUGCACUGCUGGCAUGUCCGUCACGUCGCCUUGGGAUCUACUCAUGUGGAUACUGACGUUACGUAAACGUUACGUUACGCGCGCAUUCAGUUCAAAUUCAACAACACUUGUAAACAGUGAUGAAAUAUUAAUACAUGUGUUAGUUUUAAUUAGUUUUAUAUUUAGAAAAGCCAACUACGUUUGAAAUCUCAUAACUUUUUUCACGAAUACAGGUGCAGUUCCCCUGUAGACACACGUGGGGGCGCUGUUCUGUCUUGUUGAUGGAGCAUUGAGCGACGAGAAGAAGACUGACGUACCGACUUAAAAAAAAAGGCGCGGGUGCGGAUCAGAGACGGGUGACUAGUUGUUGAUGCAAUGGCACUGAUGGGAGAACUUUUAAAACAUAUUAGGCGUUCAAAUACACACAAGAGCAGAAGGAAAAUUGUGAAAUAGAUGCAGAAACGUGGUAUCCUGACGACGACGACGAUGAAGUGCGCAAAAUGCAACCGUCGCAUGCAUCUGGUGAAAUGCCAUGUCGAGGAUGGGCUGUGGUGGGUCUGUAAGCAUCAUAAAAGUUUGUACGUAAUGGCUCAAUAUUCACCAAGUCUCACAUCCCCCUGACAAAAUGGCUCGAGCACAUGCACAGGUACAGUAUUAAUAUAUCAAAUGUAUUUUUUAUUACAUAUCUAAAUAACAUAUUUAGCAGUCUUUUAUUUGUGUAAUUCAUGUAGGAUUGUUAUAUUAGGAAUUCCGUUCAACCAGCCCCUCAAAUUUGAUGCACAUGAUAUCUUAAUGCAAAGUUAAAAUCAUUAAAUCACUGUAGGAGGGAAAUGGGAAAUGUGUUAUAAAGUCAUUUAGCAGUGUAGUUACACUUAACGACAUCGUAAUGAAAAGGACAACAUUUAUGACACAAUUGUAAUGGUUUUAUGACAGCGAAUGUCAAAACCAUCCAUAUAUGACGGUUUAAUGUCGCUCUAAGAUAUGAAGCCAAACGUUUUGCUUAAGUUUGACAGUUAGGUCUGUUAUGGCAUGUUAAUGACAUGUUAAUGACAGGUUUUGUUGUCUUGGUUUAUAUCAAGUUGUCAUAACAAGGACAUCUCAAACAAUGUCACCGUUGCAUCAAAAGUGACAUAACUUACCGAAUGACACUUAAUGAAACUGUCAUGUCAUGCUUAUGACAAUGUUAUGUCAGCCUUAUGAACACCCAUUCAAGUAAAGUGUUACCAAUAAUUUUCAUCUGCGCUGUAUGGUCUGUGACCCUCCAAUCAGUGCCUAGCGGCUGCGGCGGCAACACCAAUCAGGAUCCAUCCAGGAACUUUGUAAACACAUACAGGUUGUGGAUUCGCCUGCCUGCCCACCUGUUCGGAAUGGAUUUAUUAGCCAUGGAUAUGAAGGGACCAUUGAGUGCUCCCACUCCCACAGAUGCCCGCAAAAGGCCUCAAGUACAAAGUGAGACUAAAGAAGAUCAAUUCACGUUUUUUAAACAUUGCAUUAAGACCGGGACAAACAAUAUUAAUCACGCAUUGAGCGUGACAGUCACUCAUUUCAUUUCGGUCUUUAGUCACGCACCAAUUUCGCACCAAAAAAAAUAAAUUCAUAGUUUACCCACCUCUAAUUUUACCACAACAAUGUUGGAUACAGGAUAACAUUAGCACAAAGCUAUCCUUUUUUAUACAUUACAUCCAUCUCAGUGUGUUUAGGUCCUUACAGUAGAUAGAAACAACCAGAUUCCAUCCCUGAAGGCCUAUUGGUGAUCUCAUUAGGCACACACUCACAAUGCAUUAGCUCAUUCACUUCAACCGCAGAAUGGGAGCAAUAGUUUGAAAAUUGACCAUUUGCAUUUCGCAGCCUUUAUUUAAAUUCUUUUUUGGCUCUGCCUUAUCAGCCACAACGAUUAGAGAUGCUGCUUUGCAUCUAGUUUCUAUAAACAGUCUGGGUCCCAAUCUUUGUUAACUUCCUCUACCCUUUUCACAGAACUUAAAAAUCAAAGGCCAUAUGGCUGAAUACACCCAUCAGAUGCUUUCAGAUCCCGGACUGUUGGUGGAAAGUGCAUGUCCCAAUGACAGAAAUGAGCUCAGACAGCACGAGGUCACAUAAUCCUAUGUGUGAAUUAGAAGAUUGUGCAUUUCACAAUAAUUAAUUACUUAUUCUCAUACGGGCUGUCAGCCACUAUUUACAUGAUCUCCCAAUACACACAAAGGUGUCUGCUCUAAUAAGAAGCAAUUCCGCUCAAAAAUUGAUUAUCAGCGAAGGAUUAGUAAUCCUCAACAGGAAUGUUUGGAAAAAGUGUGGAUACAAGAAUUAUAGUGUGGUGUUAUUUGUCAUGAUGGUAUACAAAUAAUAACCGAGGCUCCCUAGUCUUGUCGCAAUCAGACCUUCUUGUGAGGAAGGACCCCCUCUGGCCCGAUGUUAGAUUGUUCGAUUCAAAUCAAAGGAUGUUUAUUCUUCAUAAAAACGAGUUACAAGUUGAAUCACGUAACAAUAUAUUUCAUGAAAAAGAGGUCAAUUGUGUUUCACCCAAUAGUGAAACAUGUUGUGGAAUAUUUCAAUAAAAUAGUUCGGGAGAGGAGAAUGAAUUCUUUCAAUGUUUAUCUAAUAAAAAACUAAAAGAGUCUUGAUGAAUAAAAUUGUUUUACACAUGUGAAGGCCAUCCUCAGUGGCAGGUACGAGAAGUUGCAAAUCCAAGUUGAGAUAUUAACCAUGAUUAAGAUGGGGGUAACACACACAGUUCCUUUGUUUGAGCAAGUUAACUCCCUUCUUCAGACACAGCUGCAUAUGGAAACCUUAAAUCUUUCUGCUUUUGCACAUCACUGCAAUACAGACAAUAAUCACUCUUUUAGCAUAACAUAUUUUUACCACUACAAGAGUAUUCUUUAAUCACACAUAAUAUUGCAAGCAAAUGUAAAACAUAAAAUAAAAUAAAAUAUAAAAUAUAGAACACCAGGACCAUGAACACUGAAACAUAAGAAAAUAAAAUAAUAAUGUCGAAACAAGUUCCCCCUAGCCUCUUGAGGGUGUUCCAUGGGCGUUGUCGCUCCAUGAUAAGCGCGAACCACUCUUUAGGUAGCUGACUACUAGGGGUGUAACUAUUCAUCCACUGAAUCGAUUAAUCGAUUUAUAUUCCUGCGAUCCACCUGAAUCGAUCUGUGCUCCGCAAAUCGGGAUUCUGGACGACAUAUAUCGAUUACAAAUCGAUUGAAAUGGUACAUAAUCUAUUUGUAAUCUAUUUGGGGUCGUCGUGGCGCAGGGGUUAGAGAAGGUGUGCUGGGAAGCACAAGGUUCGAUUCCAGGCUGCCCCAUGUUCCAUGUCAAAGUGUCCCUGAGCAAGACACCUAACCCCUAAUUCCCCGGGCAAAAAUGUGAAAAGCCAUGGGUUUAAAGUGUAAUGUAAGUCGCUUUGGAUAAAAGCGUCAGCUAAAUGACCUGUAAUGUAAUGUAUCGAUACUUGGAAACUGCACAUUGGAUUUAAGCACAAAAACUGUAUGGAUGUUUGUUUGUUUUUUAGCACUUUAGACACGUUAAACGUUACUCGAUUCAGUCUGCCUGUCUGUGACGUCAUCAGUACGCAGCGGCAGCCGCGCAAAACUGAACAACAACAAAACCCAGCGUUGAGGAGACGACUGCGAGCGAGACAUUUACAAACCAACUUAUCGAUCCAGCGUGUGGAAAUAUUUUGGCUUUUGCAAACACGGAGGUGUUCUAAAUAAGUCGGUCGCUGUUUGUAGAAUAUGUGGAAGACAAAUAAAAAACCACAACGGAUCUUUCCGGCUAUCUAAGGCGCCGUGGGAUUAAACAACGCCGACAGUCAGGCACCUCUAGCAGCGUUACCGCUGCAGCAGCAGCAGGUAACUCCAGCUCUGCAGACACCUCAGGCCUCGCCAGCAACAAACUCAACAUCACAGUAACAAUUGCCAAGUUUAUCUGUGAAGACAUGCGACCCUACAAUGUGGCUGAAAAUCCGGGGUUCUGUGAAUUGAUCCAAACAUUGUGUAAUUAUUGUAUGUUUACAUUGAAAGUGGUUGCACAAUAAAAGGUUAAUACAUUUGCCAUGCAUAAAUUGUUUGCCUGUUUAUAAUAUCCAUAAUUAAUUUAAACCUGAUUUCCUUACAAGAAACAACAGGGAUCUUGGCAACUUUGCAUGCACUGUCCAGUAAAGUUACUGAAUCGAUUUUAAGUCACUGAAUCGAAUCGUUCUAAAUUAACCCAGAUUGUCCAUGAAUCGAAUCGGCAACCACGAAUCGCGAUUCGAAUCGAAUCGUUGUUAAAAUGAAUCGUUACACCCCUACUGACUACAGAAUCACAAAAAGAUACUUAAAAAUAAGUAUGAAACUGAAGCCAGCAAUAAUAUGAAUAAAACCGUGGAGACACAAACGACUACUGUGUCUACGUGAAGGGGUCCUGGCUGUGUUCCUCUUCUCGUGUGGGUCCGUGGGUACACGUUGGGAGUCUGCCAACCUUCUUUCUUGUGAGGCAUCUGCGUUGUAGACAGUCAACACAGAUCACAAUGCACUGUGUGUCUGUCGGUCAACUGCUGGUUGUUAACCCGUCCGUGGUCACUGCAACGGUGGUUGUGAGCCUACUAUUACUAGAUCUGAAACAAUGGGACCCGUGGACCCAAGUUGCCCUCUCAGCUACUUUGACAGCAGUUUGGGUUACAAGGAGGACCUGGAAUGGUCCCUGCCAGCGUCGUGCUUCCCAGUUUUUUCUCCUAUCCAGGGCAGACCUGUGUCCGCACAGCAUUGUGCCAACUUGGUUUUAAGUGUGCCAUUCUCUCUUUCAACAGCCCCUCCACCGACUGGAUGGUAAGAUUAGUGUGUUUUUAAAUCAAUACCCAGGUAUGGGCUUAAUUCUGUAAUGGCCUGGUUGACAAAAUGAGAACCAUUGUCACUUGAUAUUUUAGCAGGAAUGCCUCAUCGAAGGAUGAUUUCAGAAAUUAGGGCCUUGGCUACUGUUGC